RNAcentral lists this transfer RNA (25 nucleotides) under Megaceryle maxima. RNAcentral describes it as "partial tRNA-Met". Lineage: Eukaryota; Metazoa; Chordata; Aves; Coraciiformes; Cerylidae. RNAcentral also lists the same sequence under 1 other name. The record is from RNAcentral.
GAUGGUUCAACCCCUUCCCCUACUA